CCAUAGAGUAGUAUAAUAAAUACGAUCGUACUCAUCGGGCUAUAAACUAAAGCUUAAGCUUGACGUUAUAACUAGUUCUUAAAGCUAAAGUUCGAUGAUCGUACCAUAUUUUGUGCUUUGCUCGUUUCGGUUAGAGUGGAGACGCAAAAAACCGAUUUAAGUAUUGUCUUGGUUGUCGUGUAACGAAGGCACCAUGAGUGCACGCACAAAAUAUUUUGUUUUUUCUGUAUUUUGACUUGCUUCCUUUCGUUUAGUUACUACCAGUCGACACCAUAAAGGACUGUCAAGAAGAAACAACAGCUCAAAAACUUGCUUCUGAGAAACAUUUCGACAAACAUCAGUUUGACGAAAAAGACUAGCUAGAAAUUGCGCUGUUCUUAUCUUUGAUUGUUAACGGAUGAAAAAAGGCAUAAUAUGGUGAACCCUUUGAUUUUCCUCAAGCAGUAUCAAUCUGAAGUGUGGAUCUACAUCUACAACACCAAAUUGGUUCAGUUCAUUGUUCAAUUCAUAAUUUGGUAUCCGGUGACCUGACAUAACUGAUGAAAAACUUAACAAUACAAUGAUUCCUUACAAAAUUUGUAUAAAAAAAAUUAUAACAAUUACUACAGCAAGUUUCGGUCUAGUUCCAACUCGGUUUAAAAGGCUGCCCUAGAGUAUGAUUUCUAAGUAGACAUGUGACGUUUAAUGAAAAAAGGUUUUGUGGAUUUGCUACAGACAAAAAAAAUUGUUUUCAAGCUCUAGUAUUUAAGAUGGAACAAUCAACAUUACUGGCUAUGAGUUAAGCUAACUUGCUAUCCACCUCCUCUAUAAAAAGAUUGAGAAAUAACUCCCUCACUGAAG
Long non-coding RNA from Zerene cesonia (dogface butterfly), 840 nucleotides. RefSeq lists it as uncharacterized. The record is from RefSeq and is a predicted model, not a curated record. NCBI's taxonomy places the organism in Eukaryota, Metazoa, Arthropoda, Insecta, Lepidoptera, Pieridae. The transcript is spliced from 4 exons.